AUUGAACGCUGGCGGCAUGCUUUACACAUGCAAGUCGGACGGCAGCACAGAGAAGCUUGCUUCUUGGGUGGCGAGUGGCGAACGGGUGAGUAACAUAUCGGAACGUACCGAGCAGUGGGGGAUAACUAAUCGAAAGAUUAGCUAAUACCGCAUAUCUUCUGAGGAAGAAAGCAGGGGACCAUUUGGCCUUGCGCUGUUUGAGCGGCCGAUAUCUGAUUAGCUAGUUGGUGGGGUAAAGGCCUACCAAGGCGACGAUCAGUAGCGGGUCUGAGAGGAUGAUCCGCCACACUGGGACUGAGACACGGCCCAGACUCCUACGGGAGGCAGCAGUGGGGAAUUUUGGACAAUGGGCGCAAGCCUGAUCCAGCCAUGCCGCGUGUCUGAAGAAGGCCUUCGGGUUGUAAAGGACUUUUGUCAGGGAAGAAAAGGGCGGAGUUAAUACCCCUGUCUGAUGACGGUACCUGAAGAAUAAGCACCGGCUAACUACGUG
Molecule: ribosomal RNA, 490 nt
Filed under: uncultured bacterium
Lineage: Bacteria
Description: partial 16S ribosomal RNA
Rfam family: Bacterial small subunit ribosomal RNA
Source: RNAcentral